UUAAUGUCUAUUAAUAUUCCCUUUAUUUCAAACACAGGACUAGAAAUCAAAGGACUUAUAUGCGUAAUAUUACUACAAGUGUAGCAACAAGAAAUAUAUAGAAUCCCCAUAAUGUGUUGCUGUUGUGACUGUUGCGAGUGCAUUACUGGAUUUUUCAAGAGCUUGGCAAAGAUCUUCUGUUGUUGUUGCGGGACUGCCUUCUUCGCUUGUUGUCCUUGCUGUGAGGAAGUUGGUUGCUGUGUCGCUCUUUGUGCUUGCUGUUGUUGUUGUUGUAGCUAACACGAGAUGGACUUCUAAAUUUAUUGAGCUAUAUAAUCAACACUACUGUAAAAACUUCAAUCCUUUUGUGAAACUUUUUCAUUGGUUAAUUUUUUCUCGCUUUUCCUAACCAAUAUCCAAAAUGUCAAAAACUUUUAUUUAAAAACUUCAUCUAAAUGUGAAUAUGGAUAGAAAUGACUUCCUACCCGCUUUUAGUCUUUUUUAUAAGUUUGUUUUUAUUGUUUAUACUGUAAUUUACAUCUUGUCAAACUCCAAAAGAAAAUUUUAACGAUGUCACUUUUCUUUUAAUAAAACCUUUGUUAUAUUUU
This is a non-coding RNA of Ciona intestinalis (vase tunicate), 587 nucleotides long. NCBI's taxonomy places the organism in Eukaryota, Metazoa, Chordata, Ascidiacea, Phlebobranchia, Cionidae. The record is from RefSeq and is a predicted model, not a curated record.